RNAcentral lists this ribosomal RNA (253 nucleotides) under uncultured bacterium. Its description in RNAcentral is "partial 16S ribosomal RNA". It matches the Rfam family "Bacterial small subunit ribosomal RNA", at positions 524 to 776 of the family's 1533-position model. The record is from RNAcentral.
UACGUAGGGGGCAAGCGUUGUCCGGAAUCAUUGGGCGUAAAGAGCGCGUAGGCGGUCCGGUAAGUCCGCUCUGAAAGUCCGGGGCUCAACCCCGGGAGGCGGGCGGAUACUGUCGGGCUAGAGUCCGGAAGAGGCGAGUGGAAUUCCUGGUGUAGCGGUGAAAUGCGCAGAUAUCAGGAGGAACACCAAUGGCGAAGGCAGGUCUCUGGGCUGACACUGACGCUGAGGAGCGAAAGCGUGGGGAGCGAACAGG